CGAGAGAGAGAGGUAGGUCGAGAGAGAGAGGUAGGUCGAGAGAGAGAGGUAGGUCGAGAGAGAGAGGUAGGUCGAGAGAGAGAGGUAGGUCGAGAGAGAGAGAGAGGGUAGGUCGAGAGAGAGAGAGAGGUCGGUCGAGAGAGAGAGAGAGGUCGGUCGAGAGAGAGAGAGAGGUCGGUCGAGAGAGAGAGAGAGGUCGGUCGAGAGAGAGAGAGAGGUCGGUCGAGAGAGAGAGAGGUCGGUCGAGAGAGAGAGAGGUCGGUCGAGAGAGAGAGAGAGGUCGGUCGAGAGAGAGAGAGAGGUCGGUCGAGAGAGAGAGAGAGGUCGGUCGAGAGAGAGAGAGGUCGGUCGAGAGAGAGAGGUCGGUCGAGAGAGAGAGAGAGAGAGAGAGGUCGAGAGAGAGAGAGAGAGAGAGGUCGGUCGAGAGAGAGAGAGAGGUCGGUCGAGAGAGAGAGAGGUCGGUCGAGAGAGAGAGAGGUCGGUCGAGAGAGAGAGAGGUCGGUCGAGAGAGAGAGAGGUCGGUCGAGAGAGAGAGAGGUCGGUCGAGAGAGAGAGAGGUCGGUCGAGAGAGAGAGAGAGGUCGGUCGAGAGAGAGAGAGGUCGGUCGAGAGAGAGAGAGGUCGGUCGAGAGAGAGAGAGGUCGGUCGAGAGAGAGAGAGAGAGAGGUCGAGAGAGA
Molecule: long non-coding RNA, 676 nt
Organism: Oncorhynchus keta (chum salmon)
Lineage: Eukaryota; Metazoa; Chordata; Actinopteri; Salmoniformes; Salmonidae
Exons: 3
Source: RefSeq, a predicted model, not a curated record